GACGAACGCUGGCGGCGUGCUUAACACAUGCAAGUCGAACGGAAAGGCCCUGCUGUUGUUGGUUGCUCGAGUGGCGAGCGGGUGAGAAACACGUGAGUAACCCUCCCUUUACUGUGGGAUAACUUCAGGAAACUGGGGCUAAUACCGGAUAGGAUCUCCUGCUGCAGGGGGGUGGAUGGAAAGUGUCGGCGUUUGGGGAUGGACUCGGGGUUUAUCAGCUUGUUGGGGGGGUAGUGACUUACCAAGGCUUUGACGGGUAGCCGGCCUGGGCGGGUGACCGGCCACAUUGGGCCUGGGAUACGGCCCAGCCUCCUCCGGGAGGCAGCGGUGGGGAAUAUUGCCCAGUGGCGGGAAGCCUGUUGAGGAAAGGCCCGGUGCGGGAUACCGGCCUUCGGGUUGAAAACCGCUUUCGCAUGUGCCGAAGCGUUAGUGACGGUACUGGGUAAAGAAGCACCGGCUAACUACGUG
RNAcentral lists this ribosomal RNA (468 nucleotides) under uncultured bacterium. RNAcentral's name for it is "partial 16S ribosomal RNA". It matches the Rfam family "Bacterial small subunit ribosomal RNA", at positions 28 to 507 of the family's 1533-position model. The record is from RNAcentral.